This 253-nucleotide ribosomal RNA is filed under the name uncultured bacterium. RNAcentral's name for it is "partial 16S ribosomal RNA". It matches the Rfam family "Bacterial small subunit ribosomal RNA", at positions 524 to 776 of the family's 1533-position model. The record is from RNAcentral.
UACGAAGGGGGCUAGCGUUGCUCGGAAUCACUGGGCGUAAAGCGCACGUAGGCGGCUUGUUAAGUCAGGGGUGAAAUCCUGGAGCUCAACUCCAGAACUGCCUUUGAUACUGGCGAGCUUGAGUUCGGGAGAGGUGAGUGGAACUGCGAGUGUAGAGGUGAAAUUCGUAGAUAUUCGGAGGAACACCAGUGGCGAAGGCGGCUCACUGGUCCAUUACUGACGCUGAGGUGCGAAAGCGUGGGGAGCAAACAGG